AGCAGCCGCGGUAAUUCCAGCUCCAAUAGCGUAUAUUAAAGUUGUUGCAGUUAAAAAGCUCGUAGUUGAAUUUCGGGGUUAGCAGGUCGGUCGUGCCAUCGGUAUGAACUGGUCUCGCUGAUCCCUCCCUCUUGACGAACUGUGAUGCCAUUAAUUUGGUGUCGCAGGGAAUCAGGACUGUUACUUUGAAAAAAUUAGAGUGUUUAAAGCAGGCUCACGCUUGAAUACAUUAGCAUGGAAUAAUGAAAUAGGACGUUUGAUCCUAUUUUGUUGGCUUCUAGGAUUGACGUAAUGAUUAAUAGGGAUAGUUGGGGGCAUUAGUAUUCAAUUGUCAGAGGUGAAAUUCUUGGAUUUUAUUGAAAGACUAACUACUGCGAAAGCAUUUGCCAAGGAUGUUUUCAUUAAUCAAGAACGAAAGUUAGGGGAUCGAAGACGAUCAGAUACCGUCGUAGUCUUAACCAUAAACUAUGCCGACUAGGGAUC
Molecule: ribosomal RNA, 483 nt
Filed under: uncultured Glomus
Lineage: Eukaryota; Fungi; Glomeromycota; Glomeromycetes; Glomerales; Glomeraceae
Description: SSU rRNA
Rfam family: Eukaryotic small subunit ribosomal RNA
Source: RNAcentral